This 343-nucleotide ribosomal RNA is filed under the name uncultured bacterium. RNAcentral's name for it is "bacterial SSU rRNA". It matches the Rfam family "Bacterial small subunit ribosomal RNA", at positions 152 to 507 of the family's 1533-position model. The record is from RNAcentral.
GGAAACGACUGCUAAUACCGCAUGAUGUAGUUCGGGGGGCAUCCCCUGAAUACCAAAGCUUUAUGUGCUGAAAGAUGGUCUCGCGUCUGAUUAGCUAGUUGGUGGGGUAACGGCUCACCAAGGCGACGAUCAGUAGCCGGUCUGAGAGGAUGAACGGCCACAUUGGGACUGAGAUACGGCCCAGACUCCUACGGGAGGCAGCAGGUGGGGAAUAUUGGGCAAUGGGGGAAACCCUGACCCAGCAACGCCGCGUGAAGGAAGAAGGCCUUCGGGUUGUAAACUUCUUUUAGCAGGGACGAAGGACGUGACGGUACCUGCAGAAAAAGCAACGGCUAACUACGUG